Molecule: ribosomal RNA, 194 nt
Filed under: Lachnolaimus maximus (hogfish)
Lineage: Eukaryota; Metazoa; Chordata; Actinopteri; Labriformes; Labridae
Description: partial large subunit ribosomal RNA
Source: RNAcentral
AUGGAGACCUGUAUGAAUGGCAUAACGAGGGCUUAACUGUCUCCCCUUUCAAGUCAAUGAAAUUGAUCUCCCCGUGCAGAAGCGGGGAUAACCACAUAAGACGAGAAGACCCUAUGGAGCUUUAGACACCAAAGCAGAUCAUGUUUAACGCCCCUAAACAAAGGACAAAACCAGAUGAACCCUGCCCUAAUGUC